This 28-nucleotide non-coding RNA is filed under the name Rattus norvegicus (Norway rat). Lineage: Eukaryota; Metazoa; Chordata; Mammalia; Rodentia; Muridae. The record is from RNAcentral.
UUGAUGUUAGGUUCUGUUCAGAUACUUU